AUCGAGAUGACGAGUCCCAAAUAGGACGAAACGUGCAUCCUGGAU
This is a non-coding RNA of Schistosoma curassoni, 45 nucleotides long. NCBI's taxonomy places the organism in Eukaryota, Metazoa, Platyhelminthes, Trematoda, Strigeidida, Schistosomatidae. The record is from Rfam.